RNAcentral lists this ribosomal RNA (161 nucleotides) under uncultured bacterium. Its description in RNAcentral is "partial 16S ribosomal RNA". It matches the Rfam family "Bacterial small subunit ribosomal RNA", at positions 358 to 511 of the family's 1533-position model. The record is from RNAcentral.
GGAAUCCUCCACAAUGGACGCAAGUCUGAUGGAGCAACGCCGCGUGAGUGAAGAAGGGUUUCGGCUCGUAAAACNCUGUUGUAAGAGAAGAAUGACAUUGAGAGUAACUGUUCAAUGUGUGACGGUAUCUUACCAGAAAGGAACGGCUAAAUACGUGCCAG